ACAUGACUAUUUGUAAUUUUACCAUAACAAAACUAUACAUGGGAUUAUCUAGUACCAGUACAUACUUCCUUGGUAUAUUACUAUGGUUUACCAGUGUAUAACAAACAAAACAAAGAAUUACAAACAGGAUCCUGUCACAUGUGCCGAUACAAUGUAAACAUUGUGUACUGUCAACCAUGUUUUCCUGUGUAGGAUGUGGGUUGAUAUGUGAGCUGUGUGCAAUAUAAUAGAGCUGUGUGUAACUACGUACUUGUAUACAUAUAGCGACUUGUGGUCGACUGCGCCACACGCAGGGUUUUAUGAACCAUUUUGUCUGGUCAACAAAUAAAUCCGAACUUAUCAUGUGGUUGUGUUUCAUUGAAUGAUUCCAACACCCCGUUACACUGUUAUGGAUAUUGACUCAAUUCUGUGUAAUAUUUAUGCAGGGUAGAUGAGUGCUGCAACAAUGAUAGAGGAUAACACGGCAAGAAGCUUAUGAUGUAGGCCUACCCACACAAACCAAUGACAAUAUUUUAUUCUCAUAAACAUUAUAAAGUGUAGAGGCAAUUAUAUAUACAUACAAAAUUGUACAGAACAUAUGAAAUAAUACAUGGAUACAUGAACCGGACUUCGGUAGACCAUUGCUGAUCAGUCACCUUUCAUCUACAAUGAAAUACUAUAGUGGCAGCUGAAAUCAACUGUUAUUUCUUCAUUGUAUGGCCGAUUUCGGAAUUACAAUGCAUCUAAGACGCAGGAACCCUGCAUCAUGGAAAACGCUACUAUUGCAGGUCACUAAAAAUCCUAAUAUUGCACAAGAGCUGCCAUGUACUUCAAUUCCUUGUAGUCAAAAUUAAUAUGUUUUACAUGAUAGUACGGAUCGAGAGGUUAUUAAAUAUAAAUAAACAACAUCCACAACCCUUCACAGUUACGCCCCUGGAAUUCGGAAAUGGGUCAACAAGUGCCUAAUAAACUUGUUUUGGAAAUU
This is a long non-coding RNA of Pecten maximus, 964 nucleotides long. RefSeq lists it as uncharacterized. The record is from RefSeq and is a predicted model, not a curated record. Lineage: Eukaryota; Metazoa; Mollusca; Bivalvia; Pectinida; Pectinidae. The transcript is spliced from 3 exons.